AUGGCAAACCGGGAUCCCAAACCGGGAACGGCUCCAGCAACGGCCCCGGGGUCCCGAACCGGGAUCCCAAACCGGGACCCCAAACUGGGAACUGCCCCCGGGAUCCCGAGCCGGGAAUUGCUCCAGGAAUUACUUCGGAAUUGUCCCGGGAUCCUGCCUCGGGAUCCAGCACCAGGAAUUGCCCCGGGACCGGGACUGGGAUCCCGAACCGCCCAGGUGCCCGGGACCGGACUGGGUCCCGAACCGGAAUUGCCCGGGAAUUGCCCCGGGACCGGGACUGGGAUCCCGAACCGGGAAUUGCCCCGGGAAUUGCCCCGGGACCGGGACUGGGAUCCCGAACCGGGAAUUGCCCCGGGAAUUGCCCCGGGACCGGGACUGGGAUCCCGAACCGGGAAUUGCCCCGGGAAUUGCCCGGGACCGGGACUGGGAUCCCGAACCGGGAAUUGCCCCGGGAAUUGCCCCGGGACCGGGACUGGGAUCCCGAACCGGGAAUUGCCCCGGGAAUUGCCCCGGGACCGGGACUGGGAUCCCGAACGGGGAAUUGCCCCGGGAAUUGCCCCAGGACCCCGAACCGGGUCUGGGACCAGGGUCCUACCCCGGGAAUCGCUCCGGGAUCCUGAGCCAGGGGUCCCCCCCCGGGAUCAUCCCCGGAGCCCCCCGGGACCCCCGGCUGGGGAAGGGGAGGGGUCACCGGGGGCGCCUCGAUCCCGAAAUAUCCCGGAGCAAAUUGGAUCAGGGCGGACAAAGCCGAGCUUAGAGCCGGGUUUAGCCGCGGGGGCGGCGCCCAGCGGGGGCGGGAGGGGCCCCCGAGCCCCCCCCGAGCCCCCCGAGCCCGGACACGCACGUGGGGGGACACGGGGACGGGCGCUGUCACCGCCGGGAUUUUGGGGACCCCCCCACAAGGACAGGACCCCCCCGCGCCCCGCCAGCUGCGAGCCAGAUGUUGGCGUGGCCGAAACAGCUGGGCCGGGACAAUGCGGGGGGACAGCCAGGGGAGACCCCCCCCGUGGGGGUGGCACUUGA
RNAcentral lists this long non-coding RNA (1023 nucleotides) under Camarhynchus parvulus. RNAcentral describes it as "lncRNA (ENSCPVG00000016748.1)". Lineage: Eukaryota; Metazoa; Chordata; Aves; Passeriformes; Thraupidae. The record is from RNAcentral.